GCUUAACACAUGCAAGUCGAACGAGCUCCAACCAGUCGCAAGACUGGGGAAGAGCUAGUGGCGAACGGGUGAGUUACACGUGAGCAACCUGCCUCGAAGACUGGGAUAACAGCGGGAAACCGCUGCUAAUACCGGAUAUCCCCAUUGGGCCGCAUGACCCGAUGAGGAAAUGAAUUUCGCUUCGAGAGGGGCUCGCGGGCUAUCAGCUUGUUGGUGGGGUAACGGCCCACCAAGGCUACGACGGCUAGCUGGUCUGAGAGGACGACCAGCCACACUGGGACUGAGACACGGCCCAGACUCCUACGGGAGGCAGCAGUGGGGAAUCUUGCGCAAUGGGCGAAAGCCUGACGCAGCAACGCCGCGUGCGGGAUGACGGCCUUCGGGUUGUAAACCGCUUUCAGCAGGGACGAAAUUGACGGUACCUGCAGAAGAAGCUCCGGCAACUACGUGCCAGCAGCCGCGGUAAUACGUAGGGAGCGAGCGUUGUCCGGAUUCAUUGGGCGUAAAGCGCUUUAAGGCGGUUCGCUAAGUCGCGUGUGAAACCU
RNAcentral lists this ribosomal RNA (545 nucleotides) under uncultured earthworm cast bacterium. Its description in RNAcentral is "bacterial SSU rRNA". It matches the Rfam family "Bacterial small subunit ribosomal RNA", at positions 46 to 602 of the family's 1533-position model. The record is from RNAcentral.